GGGAACUUGGAGAGCCAUUGCCGAAUGAUCUGUUCAUCUCGAUUCAUUUCUCUGUUCAUUUCAUUCAUUCUUUCAUCUGUUGAAUGAAUAAUGGGACUCUAGUCAACUGCCAGGCACAGCGGCAAGCUGGAGUGCCUGGAGUAAUUUUCUGGACAGAGCACCUGCCCUCUGGGAGCAGAUAUUCUAGUUGGGUAGAUGACGUCAGGUAAAAGAUGCUUGGAAGAAAAGGAAAUCAGGAUAAGGGGACUGAGAGUGACAGAGGUCACGGAGUGACAGGUGGUCAGAGAAGGCUGCUCUGAGGAGGUGACAUUUGAGAAGAGGCAUGAAAGAAGGUAGACGGUGACAGAAUCCAUGGAACUGUAGGACAUCCUGCUGGUGUUGGAGAAUUGCUUGGUGUCGGGGAAGGCGUCACAAGUCAGACUGGGUGCAGAACAGUCAGCAACCAGGGUUUCUUGGUACUUUGCUGCAAGCCUGUUUGCUGUAGACAUCUUUGCCACAAGUGUUUUCGCUGCAUAACCACUUGGCCCUAUGGCAAUUUUGCCGUAAAAGAUAAAAAUCACGAAAAAUAAAAGAGGGCCAUUCAUUCCAAAGGAUGCAACAAAACGUGAAAAAGAUGAAUAGCAAAAUUAAAAGGACUUUAUUGUGAAAUACAAAAGAUUUGAAUAGGUUUAAAAUAUGUGUCUGGAGAUUCACGGCAGUCCUGCCCAAAGAACCAGUUUUAUUUUGUGUGUGUGGAUUGCACCUCACUAAGCACCUUCCUUUGUUCCGUGGGACAUGUGGGUUCAACUCUGCCCCCUCGAAGAAGAGGCCUCGGCCCUCUUCUCCUCCUCCAAUAUAGUGUGAUUCAAAAUAAGAAACAACUCUUGGGGCAAAUCAUCGACACGGUCAGCUCGAUGAAGCCAUCAGUAAGACACUGACUGGAAGAAAUGCCAAGUAUUUUAGACCGCUACCGUCACCACCAUGUCUGCAGGUCACCGUGGAGACCACUCUGAGGGCUAGCCAAGAUUUAUAGCAUAUAAAAAUGGGAGGAACUGUGAGAACUUCGUCAAUGGAGAAGUGAAACCAAACUGGAAAAAAAAGACAAAACUGUCAACCAGUUAUGUUCUUUUCUUUUAUGGCGGUUGAUUCGUCAAUGGAG
Molecule: long non-coding RNA, 1138 nt
Filed under: Equus caballus (horse)
Lineage: Eukaryota; Metazoa; Chordata; Mammalia; Perissodactyla; Equidae
Description: lncRNA (ENSECAG00000054860.1)
Source: RNAcentral